GUGAGGGAGUAGUAAUGAGGCAUCGGGGAGAGAGCUCGCGCACACAGAGCUGAAACAAUAAUACUUCACAUUCGGAACCCAAAGCCCACCGCCAUAUAUCCACCACGACCCUCCCUUUCCGAUUCUCUUUUCACUCUCUUUCUCUUUUCUUGCUAAGCGCUAACGGUCGACCAAUCCGCCUUCAACGUAAAUUUUUAAUCUUUCUUCCUGUUUCCUUUUUCUUCGUAAGUUUUUAUUUUGAUCUGCUUUUUAAUUUUGUAACUGAAGUUCUGGGGCCUCUGGAUCUUCAGUUCUCUUUCUUGAUUUUCUUGGCCAUGCAUAACUUUAUUUGCAGGGAAAAAGAAAUGAUUUUUUUCUUGGUUUUCUUGGUGAAGGAAUUUGAAAUGAAGUGUUGAUUUGGGAGAAAGUAUAAGGUGGGUUUUAUUUGGGUAUUGGAGGGUUACUUUUUGUUCCGGGUUGAGUAAUUGGUAAUGGAAGGAGGAUCUGGUAACAAUUCUGCACCUCCUUCGACUACGUUUGACAAAUCAAAAGUUUUGGACGUCAAACCGCUGCGUACUUUGGUACCUGUGUUUCCAUCGAGCCCUCAGACUCCGCCGUUUGUUUGUGCACCUCCUUCUGGCCCUUUUCCAACUGGGUUUACCCCGUUUUACCCUUUUAAUGGACCGCAACCCAACCCUCCUGACCUCAACCAACAGACCCACACUCCAGCGCCACUUCGAUCUUUCCGGGCCCCCCUGUCUAAUGGAGAGGUGUCUAGAGAUGGGAACGCAGAUGGUUCCAUUGAUGCCCCAACAAAGCGCCCUGUGGGGCGGCCAAGGUCUACCUCGUCUCAAAAGAAAGCCAAGAAAGACCUGGAUGUUGCCUUGUCUGUUGCUAAUACCAAGUUCGUUGUGGGGAUUUCUUUCUCUCAGAAGCAGGAUGGUGAUAGGGAAGUGGUAAAUAGUGUGCGAAUGAGGUUUGAUGCCCUUAGGAGAAGGCUUAGCCGAUUAGAGGAUCCCAAGGAAUCUGUUAGCCGUGCAGAUUUGAAAGCGGGAAAGAUUCUGAUGAAGAAAGGGGCGAGGACAAAUGCGAGAAAGAGAGUUGGAGUGGUUCCUGGAGUUGAAAUUGGGGAUAUUUUCUUUUUCCGAAUAGAGAUGUUGUUGGUUGGGUUGCAUGCCCAGUCCAUGGCUGGGAUUGAUUGCAUGGUUGUGAGAGGUGAAAUAGAAGAUCUUCUGGCUGUAAGCAUUGUCUCCUCUGGUGGGUAUGAUGAUGAGGCAGAGGAUAAGGAUGUUUUGAUUUAUAGUGGGCAUGGGGGCAAUGUCAACAGUAACAAGAAGGAUAAGCAAAUAGCUGAUCAGAAGCUUGAGAGGGGUAACCUUGCAAUGGAGAGGAGCUUGCACCGUAACAAUGAAGUGAGAGUCAUUCGGGGUAUGAAGGAUUCCAUUAGUGCAACAGCAAAGGUCUAUGUGUAUGAUGGGCUUUAUAGGAUCCAGGAGUCAUGGGUGGAAAAGGGGAAAUCUGGUUGCAAUAUAUUCAAGUAUAAGCUGCUUAGGUUGCCUGGGCAGCCAAGUGCUUUUGCUGUUUGGAAAUCAAUUCAGCAGUGGCGGGAAGGGUUUUCUUCAAGGAUUGGUUUAAUUCUGCCAGACCUCACUUCGGGGACUGAAGGUAUCCCUGUGUCACUUGUAAAUGAUGUUGAUGAAGAGAAGGGACCUGCCUACUUCACAUAUGUUGCUACUGUCAAGUAUAUUAAACCAUUUAAAUUGAUGGAGCCUUCUUAUGGAUGCAACUGUCGUAGUGCGUGUGCCCCAGGUGAUCUGAACUGCUCUUGCAAUAGGAAAAAUGGAGGUGACUUCCCUUAUACUGCCAACGGGGUUCUAGUUAGCCGGAGGCCGUUGGUUCAUGAAUGUGGUCCCACAUGUCCAUGCAUUCCCAACUGUAAGAACCGGGUUUCACAAACUGGUUUAAAGGUUCGCUUGGAAGUGUUUAAAACAAAGGACAGAGGUUGGGGACUGCGGUCAUGGGAUCCUAUUCGUGCUGGCACUUUUAUUUGUGAAUAUUCUGGUGAAGUCAUAGAAAAAGUGAAGACAAGGCAGGAUGGUGAAGGUGAAGAUGAUGAUUAUGUGUUUGAUACAACACGUGUUUAUGAGCCAUUCAAAUGGAAUUGUGAACCUGGAAUUGUAGAGGAGGAUAAUAAUGACACCACUGAGGAAUACAACAUCCCUUCUCCGCUAAUCAUAAGUGCCAAGAAUGUUGGAAAUGUAGCUCGAUUUAUGAAUCAUAGUUGUAAUCCAAAUGUUUUUUGGCAACCAGUUGCAUAUGAACAAAACAAUGAAUCCUAUGUCCGCAUUGCAUUUUUUGCAUUGAGACACAUCCCCCCUAUGACAGAGUUGACUUAUGACUAUGGGACUACCCGCACAGAUGAGGCUGAUGGUAAUAAUGCACUUCAUGGGAAAAAGAAAUGUUUAUGUGGAUCACCAAGAUGCCGGGGUCAUUUUGGUUGAAGAUUAUCUGUGAUCCAGCAUUGUGGCCGCAAGCACGGUCGGAUGAAAAGCAAUUCCUGGCGAGUGCAAAAUCUAUAUGCAUAUUUGGAGCUGUCAUUCACCAAUGCAAUGUUUGUUACUCAGUUAAAUGGGCACAUUUUGUUUUUGUUUUUCCUCGCCGUGCUCAGCCAUGUAGGACAGCUCUACUUCUAAGGGCAGAUUUAGUUUUGGAUCCUCUGCCUUGUAAUUUUGUGCAGGACCACAAGGUAGUGAAGUGUAUUAGUGCUCGCAUUAGUACUGCUCUGUAAAUUUUGCUUCUAUCCUAGGUAUUUUGUAUUUUACUGCAAAGUCAGUGUCCUUUGCAGGCCGUGGAAUGUUUGUAUGAUCCAAUCUCCAUCCCUGCUAAUGGAUUUCUCUCUCUUGCUUUCUUUUUCUGUAAGAUGACAUCUAAUCCCAUAGCAGUUUUAAAUCAAAAAAAUGUUUUUGAAUAGUGUCAUGCUGUUGAAAAUAGUAAUUUAUAAGUAACUUGAUAGCAAUGAGUCCGUUUUAUCCAAUAAGCAACCCCUUUUUAGUCCAGCACGGGCUGCACCUAAUCGAAGAUCGCCUGAAAUCAGCACCAAUCUAGCCUGGUCACCUACCAAGACAAUCAAGCGUUAACCUUCUCGGCAACUGAUGUACCAGGUUCUGCAUCAUUCCUUUCUUGGGCUUUUUUACCUCUUUUGCUUCUUUGAUUUUGGCCCCUUCGGAGAAGCUCGAAGCUACAGGAACAAUGAUAAAGAUCAAGGAGACAGCAA
RNAcentral lists this unclassified non-coding RNA (3253 nucleotides) under Hevea brasiliensis (rubber tree). The record is from RNAcentral. Lineage: Eukaryota; Viridiplantae; Streptophyta; Magnoliopsida; Malpighiales; Euphorbiaceae.